UUCCCAGUGUAGCGGUGAAAUGCGUAGAUAUUGGGAAGAACAUCGGUGGCGAAGGCGUGCUACUGGACCGUAACUGACACUCAGGGACGAAAGCUAGGGGAGCGAAAGGGAUUAGAUACCCCUGUAGUCCUAGCUGUAAACGAUGGAAACUAGGUGUGGCUUGUAUCGACCCGAGCCGUGCCGUAGCUAACGCGUUAAGUUUCCCGCCUGGGGAGUACGCACGCAAGUGUGAAACUCAAAGGAAUUGACGGGGGCCCGCACAAGCGGUGGAGUAUGUGGUUUAAUUCGAUGCAACGCGAAGAACCUUACCAGGGCUUGACAUGUCGCGAAUCUCGGUGAAAGCUGAGAGUGCCUUCGGGAGCGCGAACACAGGUGGUGCAUGGCUGUCGUCAGCUCGUGUCGUGAGAUGUUGGGUUAAGUCCCGCAACGAGCGCAACCCUUAUUUUUAGUUGCCAGCAUUAAGAUGGGCACUUUAGAAAGACUGCCGGUGACAAACCGGAGGAAGGUGAGGACGACGUCAAGUCAGCAUGCCCCUUACGCCCUGGGCUACACACGUACUACAAUGGUUGGGACAAAGGGCAGCGACUCCGCAAGGAAUAGCGAAUCUCAUCAAACCCAGCCUCAGUUCAGAUUGCAGGCUGCAACUCGCCUGCAUGAAGGAGGAAUCGCUAGUAAUCGCAGGUCAGCAUACUGCGGUGAAUUCGUUCCCGGGCCUUGUACACACCGCCCGUCACACCAUGGAAGCUGGUCACGCCCGAAGUAGUUACCCUAACCUUUCGAGGAGGGGGGUUCCUAAGGCAGGGCUAGUGACUGGGGUGAAGUCGUAACAAGGUAGCC
Molecule: ribosomal RNA, 837 nt
Filed under: uncultured marine microorganism
Description: bacterial SSU rRNA
Rfam family: Bacterial small subunit ribosomal RNA
Source: RNAcentral